Long non-coding RNA from Herpailurus yagouaroundi (jaguarundi), 3059 nucleotides. RefSeq lists it as uncharacterized. The record is from RefSeq and is a predicted model, not a curated record. The transcript has 7 exons. Lineage: Eukaryota; Metazoa; Chordata; Mammalia; Carnivora; Felidae.
GCGAGGUUGGAUUCCUUUCUGGGGGCUCUGGGGAUGAACCCACUUCCAAGCUCAUCCAAUCUGUUGGCAGAAGUCAGUUUCUUACGUGUGGGUUCCCUUGGGGUCCCCGCGUCCCUGCUGGCUGUCAGCUGACAGCUGACUCACUCUCCUUGACCCAUGGCCACUCCUCUGUCUUCAGAUCCAGCAACGCACGAAGCCCAGGAGUCUGCCCGGCAGAAGUGAGCUACCCCCGCAAGCCGGAGAAAGAGGGCCAGCCACGCAGGGCCUGCUUUCCUUGGGGGAACAGGGCAGCACUCGGUCUCCGUGAUGUUUUUCCCAUUCUGCAGUACCCUCUGCCUACAGAAACGCUCACAACCCAAGUGGCAGGGGUCAGCCCACCGGUGUAAUCGUCUUGCAGAAGUUCAGCGAAAGCCAGAUAGUGGCCUGGAGAAGGGCUCUGUCAUUUCGUUGCUGGUGGUUACAACGAUCCACACGGGGUAUUCCCCCGGCAGUGGAUCUUCCACCCCCCUCCGCCCGAUGGCAGCCGGUACGUGCACGUGUCUGUCGGACAUGACCCACGUGGCGUCUCCGCGAUCAUUCUCCUCGUGGCGUGCGCGUCUGGACCACGAGGUCGCUUCCGAGAAUUCCUGGACUCGGAGACGGGGUCAGCGCGGGGUGGCGUUGGUGCGUCGCUAAACCUCCACGAAGAGAAGAUUGCCGGUCGGCGCAAGGACUGAAGACGUGAGUGUGCGGAUGCUGUUUUCUGUGUUCGUGGCAAGAUGGUGGCCAGGGGGAUCCACGCUAUCGAAGCUUGGGGCCAAGCAAGGCAGCACCUUUCCGGCAGGUGAGCCCUGUUUCUCCGCGCCUCCCGUCCUGGUGCACGGGAGGCCUUGGAGAGGGAAAACACGUCCGAUCCCUGAGACUCCUCUGAAUUUCAGGCCAAAUUUUCCUGUGUGUUAUAGCUAUGGAAAACAGGUUCACAUGGCCCCAGGAGUUUAGUUGUUUAUAUGAAAUGCGUACCAAGUCCUGCCAGGUAAAUAGGCUCUUAGGUCUUUAAGAACGUUGACGGAUUGGCCGAUGAAUCCAUUCAUUUCCUCAUUGAAUCAAACAACUGAGCAGGGACUGUGCGCCGGGCCGACACCUCCCCGGGAUGCCGAGAGGAAUAAGGCGGUGCCCUGCGCUGGAGGGGUCUGGACUCUAAUGACAGGUGACCCUCAGGAACGAGAUGCUUCCGCGGAGACGUUAGGAGCUGCGACAGAGGGAGGAGCCAGAGGAGGGGCGCCAGUUCUGCAGAAGAACACGGGACACUUUCGAGGGGGGCUUCUAAACCAGGGUGAUAACAGAAUGGCAAAAUACGGUGGCAGUUGUGUCACCGCGAAGAGGAAGCAGCGGGGACGUCCAUGCGUUGCUGGUGGGAGGCGCGGCGGCCACGACCUCGGCACUGCUUUGCCAGGUACCUGCUAAAGGUAAAUAUAGGGUCACGAUGUUCCCACGAGGCAGGAACCCCACUCCUGGGUGGACACCCCAGGUAGGUGUGUGCCCAUGCCCGGCACGUGGCACUCACGAGAAUGCUCGUUGACGGUCUACUCACAACACUUAAAAACUGGACACAACCCAAGUUUCCAUUAAAUAAUUUGAGGUAUAUCCCUACGAUGGAAUCGUAUGCAGCAAAAAAGACGAAGCUACCAAACGAACUAACAAAUACGCGGAACAGAACGUUAUCACUUAACGUCCCAGGACGCGUAAAGGACCCUCACGUUUGUUGGAAUUGGGAGCAGAUCGGCUGGGGCAGAGAUUUUCUUCCCAGAUGCUCUGGUUCCAGAAGGCAGAGGAGCAGGAAGGGCCCAGAACUGGGCAGAGACCGCGUGGAGCUCGUCUCGCACACAGCACGGUGAUGUGAAUUUUCUACAGUGAUGCCCGCUUUUUAAGCAUGAGCACCUACUUCAGAUUUUUUUCCAGGGAAGUUUUUUUAUUGACUUACGAGCAUUUUCAAGCACGUUGAAAAGUACAGAAAAAAAUGUAAUAACCACCCUAAUACAUCCAUCAAUCCAGGAUGGCCACCUCUAGGAUGGAGAUCGUGGUCGCGGGUCACGGGGACCAAGCCGGCAGAUUGAAGCCUGAUGUCAUUAGGAUGCCUAACGCAGGACGGGGGACAACAUUCUUUCGGGGGAUGAUGAAGCGGGGUACUUUCUUGCCUCCGUGAAGGUGCUUUUGCAACAGCAGGAGCUGGAAUGAGAGCAAAUCAAGCUCGAGGGGCCUGAGACUGUCAUCCAGGGGAGGCACUGUGGUUACCCAGCCCUGGGGUCAUCCAGGGGAAGCACUGUGAGCCUCAUCAGAGACACGUCGACAGCAAACGCCUGCAGGUUCUUAGGCAGCUGGUAAAAAAUGUAUCACAACUUCCGGAGAGUGGCUGUUUAGAUCAGAUCACUGCCAUCUGAUUCGCAAAUACUCCGAGAAGCUGGUGAAACUCCAUACCCCUGGAUGGCAUGCUCUGCUGGUCAUGGCUGUCCUGCAAGCCUGGGGAGCUGUGCUUGGAUAGAUAAAAGCUGCUCUGGAAGCCUGUGUCUGAAGCUCCAUCAACAGGUCGAGCUGCGAGGAGGCUGACCACAGAAGUCAGAGUGGCGACCUGUAAAACCCUGGCUUAGGAAAAUCUGCCUCCAUUGCUCAUCGGCUUUACUCAGAGCGGUUUGAACUAAAUGUGAGCUUGGGUAAGGAAUAAGUGCCCUGUUCAUGAAUGCCCAGGCUGUUAAACAAAAAUAGCCCACAGGAAACGGUAUUGCAAAGGUCAGUUCUUCUGGAAAGGAAGGGACAAGAAACCAUCUAUCUGAAAUUUUAAUGAGCAGAUCCUGGCCUCUGACCCCGUAGCCUGACCUAACAAUCCAAUACUGGAUGCCACGUCGGUUUCCAUUUCCUGUGAACGAGGAGGCAGAGUUCGUAUCCAAAGGCCAACCAUCUGCCGGACGUAAGAUUCUGUCUGCCUAGCUGGCUGUUAUGGAUGGGCACGGAGUCUUUAUGGAUAGAGUGUCAGUCCAGACCCCUUGCUUCACAGACAUGGGAAAUUAAAUGGUUAAGAAACCAGG